UGGGGGAUAUUGCACAAUGGGCGAAAGCCUGAUGCAGCGACGCCGCGCGGGGGAUGAAGGCCUUCGGGUUGUAAACUUCUUUUGCUCUGAACAAGGCAUGCCUUUGGGGUGUGUUGAGUGUAGGGGUUGAUUAGCGCCGGCUAACUACGUGCCAGCAGCCGCGGUAAUACGUAGGGCGCGAGCGUUGUCCGGAAUUAUUGGGCGUAAAGGGCUUGUAGGUGGCUGGUUGCGUCUGUCGUGAAAGCUCAUGGCUUAACUGUGGGUUUGCGGUGGGUACGGGCUGGCUUGAGUGCAGGAGGGGAGGCUGAAAUUCCUGGUGGAGCGGUGGAAUGCGCAGAUAUCAGGAGGAAUACCGGUGGAGAAGGCGGGUCUCUGGGCUGUUACUGACGCUGAGGAGAGAAAGCGUGGAGAACGAACAGG
This 420-nucleotide ribosomal RNA is filed under the name Fusobacteriota bacterium. RNAcentral describes it as "Fusobacteria bacterium partial 16S ribosomal RNA". It matches the Rfam family "Bacterial small subunit ribosomal RNA", at positions 355 to 776 of the family's 1533-position model. The record is from RNAcentral. Lineage: Bacteria; Fusobacteriati; Fusobacteriota.